GAGAGAGAGAGAGAGUUUAAUAUAUAUAAACAUAUCCACUUGUAUGCAUAUCUGUGAUGGCAACUAUGUAGUAGCGAUAUACAUGAAUAUUUAGGUAGGUGAGUAGGUUAAAAGCAAACAUGUUCAUAUUUUUGUAAAUGUUUAUAUACGUGUAUGACAUGGAUCAGUAAUAAUAACAGUAAUAACAAUAAAAUACUUAAAUAUGUAAAUACAAAAAAAAAAAUCUUCAGAUGGCGGUGUUGACACGAUAAUAAUGAUUGUAAAAAUGAUAUCAGAAAACAAAACAUUCGUCGCCCUCCACUAUAAGGGUCCAACACAGUAUUUCAUAAGUGUGUGUGUGUGUGUGUGUGUGUGUGUGUGUUGUUCCACAAGUGUUAGGAGUUACAUUUCGUGUGUUGCUGUGUAUUGCUUGUCAUGUAGCGUGCCUGUGUGUGUGUGUGUGUGUGUGUGUUUCAGCGAGACACAAAGAACAAGAAAAUAUUAAAAGUCAGUGUUGAUUUGUAUUGUAUUUAUAUUGCGACGAAGACAAGACCGAGGCGUGUAUGCUACGUGUAUUUUUUUUUUCCUCGUACACAACCAAAACACAACACGUCGCUGCAAAGAAUAGGCAAGUGACGUCAUCGGCCGCGUCAUUGACUUAUCUUUAAUCUUUUUUUUCGCUUUUUCACGGUGUAAAAAAAAAAAAGGAGUUAUCAUAAAUCAUUCUUCAUUUUUCGUCUGCCAGCAUUGAAUUCCUUAUGAUUAUAUUCGUUUACAGCUCUCGUUUUCCUCUCCCAGUGUAGUGUCUUCGUUUUGUAUUGUGGUUAUCGUCGUCGUCGUCGUUGCUGUUGUUAUCGUUGUCGUCCCCCUCACCACCACCACCACCACUACAACCACCGUCAGUACCGUCACUAUCACCAUCCCUGUCGUGUAUCUCGGUUUUCGCCUUUCCUUCGCAGUACCGUUCUUUCUUCCAGUUCCCACAAAGCAAGACGUAUUGAGAAAUGUUUCCUGGAAUACUUACAUACCUCACGAUGCACUCCAAGUUCUUAGAAACCAUUCAUUCCAAGGGUCUGUUUUCUUUCUUCCCGUUUUUUUGUGUGUGGUUUUUGUUUUUGGAAUUCGUCUCGUCUGAAUGUUGCUCUUUCUCCGGUGUUCAUGUUCUCCCUAUGUAUCAGUGUUCUCUUUUCUCUCAUUUUGUUUUUUAGUUGUCCAUUUCGUGUUCUAUAUGUUUCACUCUCAUCUCGCGACCUUUAUGUUAGUUCUCUUGCUGUCAUGUUUUCUCUGUUUCAAUUUAUGUUUUCUUUCUUUCAUUUGAUUUUUAGUUUUGUAUUCCCUGUGUUCCAUGUUUUCCAUUCUUUCAUAUCGCGUGACCUUUAUGUUAUUUUUCCUGCUGUCAUUUUUUCUCUGUGUAUCAGUUAAUGUUCUUUUCUGUUUCAAUUUAUGUUCUCUAUUUCUCUCAUUUGAUUUUUAGUUUUGUAUUCCCUAUGUUCCAUGUUUUCCAUUCUUCAUAUCGCGACCUCUGUUAUUUUCCUGCUGUCAUGUUUCCUCUGUGUAUCAGUUUAUGUUCUUCUCUUUUCUCUUAUUUUGCUUUUAACUCUCCAUUUCGUGUUUUAUAUUUUCCGUUCUCGUCUCGUGUGUUUUAUUUUACUCUUGUCCACAUUUUCCGUUUCCGUUUUUUUUCUUCAUUUUGUGUAGUGUGUUCCCUGUUUAACAUUUUUUUUUUUUAAUUUCUCUGGUCCCGUUGCCUUCAUGUUGCUCUCUCUCUCUCUCUCUCUCUCUCUCUCUCUCUCUCUCUCUCUCUCUCUCUCUCUGGUUAUCACGUCAUCUCUAUGUAUCAGGGUUUUUUUUUCUCCUUUUCAUUUUUUUCUUGUUUUGUGUUCAGUGUGUUUAUCUUUCUUUCCUUCUCGUCUCAUUAUCGUGUUCUUCUUCUGGUUAUAAUGCUGUUCUUACGUAUCAGUUUAUGUUCUUCCUUCCUUCGUGUUGUCGCAGUGUUCUUGUUUUCCAUCUUGCUGUCCAUUCGCUAAGUUGGAUGUUUGCUUCUCGCCUCACCAACUAACCUCCAUUUCGAGAUUUUUCACUCCGUCGUUGCAGUUUCUCUAAUGUAACCUCCAUCAAGAUAACCAUGAACUAACAAUCAACUAACCGUUCCUAAUUGCUGGGUAGUUAUCUCUUAAAGCCAAGCCACGUCCAUAUGUCCACUAAUAUUCCUCUGAUGCUGUCCAAUGUUUGCACUAAAUGUAAGAAAUCGUCGCUUAUUCCCUCUUCCCGUUUUCUCUCAGUGUGGGCUUUUGAUGUCGACCUUCCAGAGCUUGGGGACUGAAUUGUUAGUCUUGCUGCUGCUGCUGCUAACUCGGUCCUCUGUAACACUUUUAUCGUAGGGUUUAAAAACAUCUCUCGUGACCUCUGACCUCCGACCUGUGAUAUCCAUGUCCAGUAUGUAUAUACCUUAAGAACUUUCAUCCGUGCUCUGUUUGUUCUGGUUCUUAAACUUUCUUCUUCAUCUUUCUUCAUCUUUUUUUUUCUGUUCUGUCAUAUUUUUUCUUCAUCGAUUUUUCUGUUCUUCUAGUGAGUUGUGUUUCUUCAUAGUGUUUUUUUUCUGUUGUCAUCUUCAUCUUUUUUUCUGUUCUAAUCGUCAUCUUUUUUCUGCUCUAGGUCGUCAUCUUCAUCUUUUUCUCCAGCCUCCAAAGUUAUUUCUUCACUUUUUUUUCUGUUCUAAGUCAUCUUCUUUUCUUCUGUUGACUUUCAUCCUCUUACGUAAACAUCAUCAUUACUAUCACUGUUUCUGUUUGUGUCCGUUCUUCAAUCUCUGCUUAUCCCAUUUCGCCCCUUCCUUUCAUAUGGCUGGGAAUGUCCCUCACCCUCGUCGCUACUCACACUCUCACUACCUCUAUGUAUAUCCAGGCAUUUACCUAUACACCCAACACCUCAUACCUUUACUUAACCUCCAUACCUUCAGUUACUCACCUUUGAAUCUUACUUACCUUCACCUGUCACGCACACACGGACCUACAAACACUUCACUUUCCCAGCCUCACCUGUGCCUCCCACCUCCCUCAUAGCUUUACGAAGCCUCAAUACCUUCAAACAACUCACCUUCGAAUCAUACUUAUCUUCACUUAACACACACGUACGCAAACACAAUCACUUUCCCAGACUCACCAGUACCUCCUCCCUCCCUCAUAUCUUUACUUAACCUCCAUACCUUCAAUUACUCACCUUCGAAUCAUACUUAUCUUCACCUAACACACGCACGCACGCCAACACACUAUCACCUUCCCAGCCUCACCUUCGCCUCCCACCUCCAUCAUAUCGUGCCUAUGCAACCACCACUUACAGCCUUAAUCUAUUCUGUCUCGAUAUUCCAGUGUAAGCGAUCUCAGGCAUUCAUAGCUUAUAACGGAGGCGCUGGAGGGUGAAGGGAGAUUGUCCUGGCGAGAGGUUCAAAGCGCUGAGAUGAUGGUUCCGAGAGAGAGAGAGAGAGAGAGAGAGAGAGAGAGAGAGAGAGAGAGUUAAGGUUACGUAUUGUCAGUUAAUCAGUCAAGGAGUCAGUCGGUCAGUCAUACAGUCAGCCAGUCAAGCCAGUAACCUUGCGUCCUUAGUGAGUGGAGAAAGUUAGAAAAAUGAAGUAAAUUAGAUUAGUUUCCGCGUAUAGCUAACGGUAAUCGAUAAAAAAUGGGUAUAGAGUUUGCUGUUGAAUGUGCGUAGAGUAUCAUGUUAAUUUAGUGGUAAGGAUAGACGUCGAAACAAGGCGGAAAUUUAGGUUUAUUUUACUUUUAUUUCCUUAUACAUUCAAUACAAUAGUUAUAAAGGAUAACCAUGUUUAUUUCAAGUGCACAAUAUAUUUAGUUUUGUUUUUCGCCGUCAUAUUUGUUAUUUCAAGAGCACAACAUAUUUCGUUUUUAUCCCCCAUUUACAAACGCCGUAUACGUAAUCGGAAAAAAAAAUUAAGAGGAAGAAGGAAAGAAAAAGUAUUCGCCGCGUAUAGUAUAAAAGAGGGCGAAAGAAGAAAGAAAAAUUAGUGCUGGUGCUAUUUGAACUGUUCUCGACCGCUUUCAGACUUAACACUUCCUCCUUCGUCGCAGGAACGCUUAUACCUUUGCCUUAUCUAGUGUACUGAAGCCUCGUGCAGUGUUCUUAAAGUUACCCCUCUACCUCGACACCACUGUUCCAUUUUCUUUCUGUUCUGACCUCGAUUUCUCUAGUUACCGUUGUACCUUGACGCCACUGUUCUCCGUUUUCUUUCUGUUUUCACUGCGAUUUCUCUUCCCAAGCGCCGUUUUCUUUCUUAUUUUCCGAGACGAAUCACAACCAACUGUACUUUUUUUUUUUUCCGGUGGGUCUGUUUUACCUUUUCUCAUUGCAUUGCUUCGUUUACGUCUAUUGGCUGUAUCAUCGUUGCGUUAUCUUUUCCUCGUCUUUAUCGUCCCGUCCCUUUAUCUCCUUUAACAAUAUUAUCAUCCUUAUAGAUUAUCUUACGCUUCAUGAUCUAAUUCACAUAACUGCAUAUUUUCAUCGUCUCUUCCUUUUCUUGAUCGUAGCUACCGUCUCUAUUUCCAUGUAUUAUAUUAUUAUCUCUAUAGAUUACCUUAUGCUUCACUGUCUAAUUCACAUAAUGCAUAUUUUCCACUCGCUUAUUGGCUAGUUGUUAUAUAUUUUGCUCCUGAUCUUGAGUCACAUUCACUCUGAAAUAUGUACUUGAAGUGUUUUAUUCUCAUUCAGUCUUAACAAUAGUACUUUGCUCUAUUUUGUAACUGUAUUUGUCAUUCUUAAUCAUCCCACUUUGCUCUUUUAUAGAGUUUGUCCAUCACUUCCGGUCACUGUACUUUGCACCUUUGUACUUUUGUCACGCACUCUUUCGUCUGGAAGCUUUCAUCCUCGUCAUCUCUUUCUCCGUCUUGCUCAACCAGACCAAGAAUAAGUCAUAUCACUAAGUCGUAAUAGCAAACUACCGUACAGUAGCUGUGUCCUCGCGUGGUGUGGCUGCGGACUACACUGUCUCGUUCAGGAAUGUGUUCCGAAACGUUUAUCUCAUCCUUCCUCCUCCCACAGACCUUUAAAAAUAUCUAUUAUAUAUUGUACAUUGAAAAAGUAAAAUAGCAUAGAUAUAUAAAAAUUAUAAAACACAUACAAUGUAAUCUUUAUUCGAGUCAACAUUUCUACUUCCAUAUUUUGCAAUCUUCUGAAUAAAAGAACUUCAUAACGAUGGUUUCGUUUCCCUCCAAAAGGUGUGAAUAAUGUAAAGGUUGUUCCGGCGAGGGUAACUGUCGCAGGUAAAAGGCUUUCAAGGUUCGCCUCGUCUUAGUAAUCCAAUAAGCAAUAAGCUUAAGCUGCAACAUCGUUCUGAAGAAUUAUAUUCCAGGAGGCAAGAUUUACUUUUCUAACGUUGAAACUCUUGCAGCUUUGCAUUUUUGCCCUAUUUUUAAUGAUAAUUCACUCAUAUUCUAGUGUUAAAAAUAUACCUGCAUGGCCUGUCGAGGGUUAAGGUUUCUGUAGCCAGAGAGCAGAGCAAUAACCGUAUAGUUCAACAAAUUAAAAAAAAGGAAAAUUGACCCGAAGCACUGAAGCAGCGAACAUGCGAAGCACCAAAUCUACCAAACAGUCAUGAAGCAGGAGCAGGAGAGCAAGAUGGCGGUGGUGCAGAUGGCCGGAACAACGCGAGCAGAUUACACGCAGCCUGGAGCACAUCACGAAGACCGAGGAGGAGGAGGUCAAGACACCCCCAGGAGUGUUAUAAGUGGCGGCUGGUCCUUGUGAGGGGAGACAGGACGUGAGGAACCUGCGGCGAGGCAUCCAGAUGAUCAUAACAGUUGACUCGUUACCCGGAGCCACAGGUAGUUUGUGUACAUCAGCUGUCCACUGCAGAAGACUAUAAAGCUACAGUCUUUAACAAGCAUCAGGGACAGGCAAGGGGCAGGAGGUUGGGUGUGGCUCAAGACUAGUGAAGACAUCUGCUGAACAUUUCCUCAUCCGGACACUUAAUCUCCUCCACGUCGGCCCACUGGUUUACGAUCAGCGCCUCAUUGCCGUAGCUGAACCAAGAGAUGUAGCGGAUCCAGAUGAAGUAGACAGCAAAAAUAAAAUCCAUGUAAGCCCAGCCCCUAGUCACCCCUCACCUUGCUCAUCUGGUACCAGGAGCCAACGUUCCCGUUGGCAGUGCCUUGCAUGUUCUCCUCCACGGCACGUGCCAUUGCCAGGCCCUCGCUG
This is a long non-coding RNA of Eriocheir sinensis (Chinese mitten crab), 6186 nucleotides long. RefSeq lists it as uncharacterized. The record is from RefSeq and is a predicted model, not a curated record. NCBI's taxonomy places the organism in Eukaryota, Metazoa, Arthropoda, Malacostraca, Decapoda, Varunidae. The transcript is spliced from 4 exons.